AGUAGCCAGUAGGUAUCAGUAAAUUAAUCUCUUAACUAGACUUUAUCCUUUUUCCAGAUUAAUAGUUCUUAUAUUAUUCAUAAAUAAAUGAAACAAACUUCAAUUUUAAAAUAUAAAUGAAACAAAAUUUCAAUUUAAAAAUAAAUAAUAGUCUACUCAUUUAACAACGUAAGAAGCAAAUGAUUGUGUUACUUUUCCAUCCUCCAUUCUCAUACACAAAUUAAACAUGUUGAAGACCAAAGUUGACCCUGUCCAAGUAUAUCUCAAGUCUCCUCAUACGUAUCUAACCCGGCCAUUGAUCUAUUCCAAAUCACAUAUUUCAUCUUUAUCCAUUGACUGACUCUAACUCGUCGUCUCAAAACAAAACAAUUAUACAAAGUGUUUUCUAGAUUCUACAUCCUCUUCACUUGGACGGUUCUGAGUAUGAAGCACGAAUACGUAAUCCGGAUGCAGGUGCGAUGCAAUAUAGUUAAGAUACGUUAAUAAAAGGUAAACAAUAAAACUUAUAAAUAUGUAAAAUACUUAAUAUACAUUGAUCGAUCAUUCUUCAUUAAUUUAUAAUUAUAGACGUCAUAAUUUAUAAAAAAAAAAAAAAAAAUGUGAUCAAAUGACAAAGUGGAGAGUUUUUUUAUAAACCAUAACCUAUUUUCAUCGCUAUGUUUGUAUAUCAACAAAAGAAUAAUUGAAAGAAUAAUUCACUCAUACUAUAAUUUUCAUAGCUUUUACAAGCUUAAAAUGAAUAAUGUGCAUCUCUAUUGAAUUUACAUAGCUUUUACUACAUUUUGAUAUGUUGCGAUCGAUUGAAUAAACAUCUUUUUAUGUUUUAGCACCACCUUACCCUAUGUAAUUGGGCAUCAUAAGUCGUCAUAAGUACAAUUAUUGAAAUAUUUUACUAUUUAAUUGUAUAUCAAUAUCUUUAUCAUUAUAUAGAUAAAUAUCUUUGUUUUAGUUAUAUUUUUUAUUUAUCAAUCAAGAGCCUUCAUAACGGGUGUUCAAAUUAAGUAAGAAUGUAAUUUCGGCAACAUCGUAGCUGAUUCUUUGGCCAAGAAUGUCCAAAGCUUUGCUAUGUUCUCUUCACAAAGGUGGAAUUCCCCUCCUUCUUUUGUUGUUUCUUUGCUUUCUAGAAACUCUUUAGGGUUACCUAUUUCUAGGGUGUCUAUGGAUUGAUUUUGUAAGCGGUUCAGGCAGCUCUUGAUUUCUUUUUAUUGCAUUUCUAGCUUUAUCAAUAAAAAGUUAUUUAGAUUUCUAUUUAAGUAAGAAUGUUACUUAGAUUUCUCUUUAUAUCAAUAAUUGAGAUGAGAUCAAAUAUGAGUGAAUGUUAAAUGAUCCAUUUCGAAAUACCAAAAAUCGAAAUUUGUCAUCACGACACAUGCGGACGCACAUUAUGGUUCUUGUGUACCGUACACAAACAUAUUGUCUCUUCUCUCCAUCUGAAAAGUAUUCAAAGCACUAUGAAUAUUAGUUGAGCAAAUACUACAAGUCAUGAUUGUUCAUUACCCGUCUUUCUCUUUAUCUUUUAGAUCACAUAAUGAGUGACUAUUGACAAUGGAUCCAUCUAUUCAUAAUAUUUUUUAUGAAACGUCUUGUAGAUCUUAAA
RNAcentral lists this long non-coding RNA (1597 nucleotides) under Medicago truncatula (barrel medic). RNAcentral's name for it is "long non-coding RNA (MTRU_LNC004385)". Lineage: Eukaryota; Viridiplantae; Streptophyta; Magnoliopsida; Fabales; Fabaceae. The record is from RNAcentral.